This 206-nucleotide ribosomal RNA is filed under the name uncultured Clostridium sp. RNAcentral describes it as "partial 16S ribosomal RNA". It matches the Rfam family "Bacterial small subunit ribosomal RNA", at positions 568 to 774 of the family's 1533-position model. Lineage: Bacteria; Bacillati; Bacillota; Clostridia; Eubacteriales; Clostridiaceae. The record is from RNAcentral.
UGCGUAGGCGGUCUUUCAAGCCAGAAGUGAAAGGCUACGGCUCAACCGUAGUAAGCUUUUGGAACUGUAAGACUUGAGUGCAGGAGAGGAGAGUAGAAUUCCUAGUGUAGCGGUGAAAUGCGUAGAUAUUAGGAGGAACACCAGUAGCGAAGGCGGCUCUCUGGACUGUAACUGACGCUGAGGCACGAAAGCGUGGGGAGCAAACA